AAGAAACCAGCGUCAAACUACUUUCUCACCUCUUCUCUGAUCUUGAGAGCCAUAUCAGGUCGUGUCCUUCUUAGCUUUUGUUUAACAGCAAGGCGUUCUUCUUUAAGGGGAAGCUUGUGAGUCACAAUAUCAGUGUCUAAUCCGGGCAUGUCUUGGUAUGACCAAGCAAACACAUAGUCAUAUUCGUGGAUGAGCUCUAUCAGUCUUGUCUUCACUUUAUCUUGAAGCGUUGCGC
Molecule: long non-coding RNA, 235 nt
Filed under: Lathyrus oleraceus (garden pea)
Lineage: Eukaryota; Viridiplantae; Streptophyta; Magnoliopsida; Fabales; Fabaceae
Description: Pisum sativum (pea) long non-coding RNA (PSAT_LNC011817)
Source: RNAcentral